Molecule: ribosomal RNA, 329 nt
Filed under: uncultured eukaryote
Lineage: Eukaryota
Description: partial 18S ribosomal RNA
Rfam family: Eukaryotic small subunit ribosomal RNA
Source: RNAcentral
CCCUUAGAUGUUCUGGGCCGCACGCGCGCUACACUGAUGCAUUCAACGAGUCUAAAACCUGCUCUGAUAGGGGUGGGUAAUCUUUUGAAUGUGCAUCGUGAUUGGGAUAGAUGAUUGCAAUUUUUCAUCUUCAACGAGGAAUGCCUAGUAAACGCAAGUCAUCAGCUUGCAUUGAUUACGUCCCUGCCCUUUGUACACACCGCCCGUCGCUCCUACCGAUUGUAUGAUCCGAUGAAUAUCAUGGAUUGAGGAUGCAAGUAGGUUCGCCUAUCUUCAUCUUCGAGAAGUGAAGUAAAUCUUAUCAUUUAGAGGAAGGAGAAGUCGUAACA